UUGGAGGGCAAGUCUGGUGCCAGCAGCCGCGGUAAUUCCAGCUCCAAUAGCGUAUAUUAAAGUUGUUGCAGUUAAAAAGCUCGUAGUUGAAUUUCGGGAUCAAAUAAUCGGUCGUGCCUCCGGUACGUACUGGUUUUAUUGGUUCCUCCCUUCUGACGAACCAUGAUGUCAUUAAUUUGAUGUGGUGGAGAAUCAGGACUGUUACCUUGAAAAAAUUAGAGUGUUUAAAGCAGGCUAACGCUUGAAUACAUUAGCAUGGAAUAAUGAAAUAGGACGUUCGACCCUAUUUUGUUGGUUUCUAGGAUCGACGUAAUGAUUAAUAGGGAUAGUUGGGGGCAUUAGUAUUCAAUUGUCAGAGGUGAAAUUCUUGGAUUUAUUGGAGACUAACUACUGCGAAAGCAUUUGCCAAGGAUGUUUUCAUUAAUCAAGAACGAAAGUUAGGGGAUCGAAGACGAUCAGAUACCGUCGUAGUCUUAACCAUAAACUAUGCCGACUAGGGAUCGGAUGAUGUUAAUUUUUUAAUGACUCAUUCGGCGCCUUACGGGAAAC
RNAcentral lists this ribosomal RNA (549 nucleotides) under uncultured Glomus. RNAcentral describes it as "SSU rRNA". It matches the Rfam family "Eukaryotic small subunit ribosomal RNA", at positions 548 to 1098 of the family's 1831-position model. Lineage: Eukaryota; Fungi; Glomeromycota; Glomeromycetes; Glomerales; Glomeraceae. The record is from RNAcentral.